AACGUAGGAGGCAAGCGUUAUCCGGAUUCACUGGGCGUAAAGCGCAUGCAGGCGGUUCGGUAAGUUGGGCGUGAAAUCUCCCGGCUUAACUGGGAGAGGUCGUUCAAUACUACCGGACUGGAGAACAGUAGAGGAAGAUGGAAUUCCCGGUGUAGUGGUGAAAUGCGUAGAUAUCGGGAGGAACACCAGUGGCGAAGGCGAUCUUCUGGACUGUUUCUGACGCUCAUAUGCGAAAGCUAGGGUAGUAAACGGG
Molecule: ribosomal RNA, 253 nt
Filed under: uncultured Leptolinea sp.
Lineage: Bacteria; Bacillati; Chloroflexota; Anaerolineae; Anaerolineales; Anaerolineaceae
Description: partial 16S ribosomal RNA
Rfam family: Bacterial small subunit ribosomal RNA
Source: RNAcentral